Molecule: ribosomal RNA, 1529 nt
Filed under: Lactobacillus sp. T5R3C19
Lineage: Bacteria; Bacillati; Bacillota; Bacilli; Lactobacillales; Lactobacillaceae
Description: partial 16S ribosomal RNA
Rfam family: Bacterial small subunit ribosomal RNA
Source: RNAcentral
GUUUGAUCCUGGCUCAGGACGAACGCUGGCGGCGUGCCUAAUACAUGCAAGUCGAACGAACUCUGGUAUUGAUUGGUGCUUGCAUCAUGAUUUACAUUUGAGUGAGUGGCGAACUGGUGAGUAACACGUGGGAAACCUGCCCAGAAGCGGGGGAUAACACCUGGAAACAGAUGCUAAUACCGCAUAACAACUUGGACCGCAUGGUCCGAGCUUGAAAGAUGGCUUCGGCUAUCACUUUUGGAUGGUCCCGCGGCGUAUUAGCUAGAUGGUGGGGUAACGGCUCACCAUGGCAAUGAUACGUAGCCGACCUGAGAGGGUAAUCGGCCACAUUGGGACUGAGACACGGCCCAAACUCCUACGGGAGGCAGCAGUAGGGAAUCUUCCACAAUGGACGAAAGUCUGAUGGAGCAACGCCGCGUGAGUGAAGAAGGGUUUCGGCUCGUAAAACUCUGUUGUUAAAGAAGAACAUAUCUGAGAGUAACUGUUCAGGUAUUGACGGUAUUUAACCAGAAAGCCACGGCUAACUACGUGCCAGCAGCCGCGGUAAUACGUAGGUGGCAAGCGUUGUCCGGAUUUAUUGGGCGUAAAGCGAGCGCAGGCGGUUUUUUAAGUCUGAUGUGAAAGCCUUCGGCUCAACCGAAGAAGUGCAUCGGAAACUGGGGAACUUGAGUGCAGAAGAGGACAGUGGAACUCCAUGUGUAGCGGUGAAAUGCGUAGAUAUAUGGAAGAACACCAGUGGCGAAGGCGGCUGUCUGGUCUGUAACUGACGCUGAGGCUCGAAAGUAUGGGUAGCAAACAGGAUUAGAUACCCUGGUAGUCCAUACCGUAAACGAUGAAUGCUAAGUGUUGGAGGGUUUCCGCCCUUCAGUGCUGCAGCUAACGCAUUAAGCAUUCCGCCUGGGGAGUACGGCCGCAAGGCUGAAACUCAAAGGAAUUGACGGGGGCCCGCACAAGCGGUGGAGCAUGUGGUUUAAUUCGAAGCUACGCGAAGAACCUUACCAGGUCUUGACAUACUAUGCAAAUCUAAGAGAUUAGACGUUCCCUUCGGGGACAUGGAUACAGGUGGUGCAUGGUUGUCGUCAGCUCGUGUCGUGAGAUGUUGGGUUAAGUCCCGCAACGAGCGCAACCCUUAUUAUCAGUUGCCAGCAUUAAGUUGGGCACUCUGGUGAGACUGCCGGUGACAAACCGGAGGAAGGUGGGGAUGACGUCAAAUCAUCAUGCCCCUUAUGACCUGGGCUACACACGUGCUACAAUGGAUGGUACAACGAGUUGCGAACUCGCGAGAGUAAGCUAAUCUCUUAAAGCCAUUCUCAGUUCGGAUUGUAGGCUGCAACUCGCCUACAUGAAGUCGGAAUCGCUAGUAAUCGCGGAUCAGCAUGCCGCGGUGAAUACGUUCCCGGGCCUUGUACACACCGCCCGUCACACCAUGAGAGUUUGUAACACCCAAAGUCGGUGGGGUAACCUUUUAGGAACCAGCCGCCUAAGGUGGGACAGAUGAUUAGGGUGAAGUCGUAACAAGGUAACCAAUC